Molecule: long non-coding RNA, 994 nt
Filed under: Solanum tuberosum (potato)
Lineage: Eukaryota; Viridiplantae; Streptophyta; Magnoliopsida; Solanales; Solanaceae
Description: long non-coding RNA (STUB_LNC008561)
Source: RNAcentral
UCAUAUUCAGAUGGUAAGUUACAUAUCCAUGAGCUAUCAUAUGAGUAGCAAUGUAUACAUAACCAGUACUUCCAUAACUACCAUGGUAUUUAUCAAACUAUGCAUGUCUUAGAAUAAUUUAACUUAAUGAAGAUUUUAGUUUUCCAAGUAGUUUUUCUUGAACUUCCAUUGGCAGGAACAAGCAUAUGUAUGACUAUAUGUGACUUGCUUGCGAAUAUUACGUUCAAGUAUUUCCAAACGGACUCUCUAGGCUUACUUUCCAAUUACUGAUUAACUGCAUUUUUAUGCUUCUAAAGUGAUUAAUUCUACCUAGUUGAACAAGUGUUGCAAUUCUGAUGUUUUGAAAGGUAGACUUCAUCUAACCGAUAAAGAAUACCUCAGAGAUCUUCUUAUCAGAUAAUAGAAUAGUGACUUAAGAAUAUGUAUAGCAUGUUUUAUAACUUAUUUGUCCCAAAUGUUAAAGAUAAUAUUACUAACUAAUUCAGUGGAUUCACCACUUGCUUUUCAUUUAACAGAUCUGGAAAUAGAACCAAAGUCAGCACAGUGAGCGCACUAAUAGCACUCGAUGAUCCCAAUGCUUCUCUGUGGAUAUCUAGCUUACAGUUCUCUGAUGUUUACUUGAGACAAAUUCAGCUGUAAUAGUUUAGAUGAUCUAAUAUAUUACUCCAUGAACUCUACAGUGGAUUGUUGUAGUUUCUGUUCUAUUCCUAUCUAUUGUUUCUUCUACUUCCGUUACUUCAUGUUCGGGACUGCUUUGGAUUGUUUUUCCUUGAGUCGAGGGUCUAUCGGAAACAACUUCUCUACCUUCGAGGUAGGGGUAAGGUCUUGUACCUUCCCCACAUCCACUAUACUGGGUAUGUUAUUGUUGAACUACACAGUGGAUUCUUAUUUUUUGCUAACAUGUUGUUAUGUCUUACCCCUACCUUUGAGGGGAUAGAGAGACUGUUUCCGGAAGAUCAAGGAAGAUGUGAACUGAAAAGUCAACCCAUUUCCC